CGUUCCCUGCCGUGCCCGUGAUGGGUAUUUAGUCUUGAGCCAACACCCAUCAUAAGGGAGCUCGGUUUGGCUAUAGGAUUUUACUUAUAGUCGACAGGCGCCCACCUUAAAUCUGGGUUCAAAGACUUAUGCUCACACGCCACCGGCGGGGAACAU
This 156-nucleotide non-coding RNA is filed under the name bacterium. RNAcentral's name for it is "6S RNA". It matches the Rfam family "6S / SsrS RNA". Rfam says of the family: E. coli 6S RNA was the first non coding RNA to be sequenced, but its function was unknown until recently. The record is from RNAcentral. RNAcentral also lists the same sequence under 1 other name.